RNAcentral lists this non-coding RNA (99 nucleotides) under Filimonas lacunae. RNAcentral's name for it is "TPP sequence". It matches the Rfam family "TPP riboswitch aptamer (THI element)". From Rfam's summary of the family: Vitamin B(1) in its active form thiamin pyrophosphate (TPP) is an essential coenzyme that is synthesised by coupling of pyrimidine and thiazole moieties in bacteria. The record is from Rfam by way of RNAcentral. Lineage: Bacteria; Pseudomonadati; Bacteroidota; Chitinophagia; Chitinophagales; Chitinophagaceae.
GUAGUGCUUUAGGGGUAUUCUGCCAAACAGCAGAAUUGAGAAAAACUCUUUGAACCUGAUGCGGUUAAUACCGACGAAGGGAAAAGCAACCGGAACCAG